Long non-coding RNA from Lytechinus pictus (painted urchin), 972 nucleotides. RefSeq lists it as uncharacterized. The transcript has 2 exons. Lineage: Eukaryota; Metazoa; Echinodermata; Echinoidea; Temnopleuroida; Toxopneustidae. The record is from RefSeq and is a predicted model, not a curated record.
AUAAUAAAAAAGGAACAUUAACAAAAUUUAAUGAACGCAGGAGACCGCCAUCGUGAGCGGUUAAGCUUGUAAUUGAUGGCGGCCUCAUAAAAAGGGUUCGUGACUAUGAUUGGUAUAAUUACUGAACAAGUGGGUGCAAUGCAGGUGCAGGUGCGGGUGCAGAAGAUAGCUGUAUAAUUUAUAUUUUUUAUUUAAUUUAUAGUGGUAAAUGAGGAUUAAUUUGAAGGUUGGGAUGAAUAAGAUCGAAUGAUAUUUCUUUUAACAGUUGAUUUUAAAGAGUAUAAAGUGGAACAAGAUUUAAUAUUUUCUGCAAGAUUAUUCCAAAUGUCUGGACCAUGAUAACUAUUGAACUUAAACAUAUCAUCAAAAGACGAAGGGAGUAGGUUAUUAAUAUACUUAAACAUAAUGAUAGCUACUUGAAGAGUAUACAAGUCGGCAACUUUUAGUGUUUUCUGUUUGAAAAAUAAUGGAUCAGUGUGAGCCAAGUAAUGAGAUCCUGUACAAAUGCGAAUAACUCUCUUUUGUAAUUUGAAAAUAGAAGUCAGCUUUGUUGAGCCACAAUUAGCCCAAACAACGUUACAAUAAUUAAUAUACGGGAGUACUAAGGAAUUGUACAAUAGGAAUAAAGUUUUAAGAGGCAAAAUAAAUUUUAACUUAGAAAUAAUUCCAAUGCUUCUCGAAAUACGCAUUGUAAUAUGGUGCAGAUGCUCAUUCCAAGAUAAAGCUUCAUCUAUGAUAACCCCUAAAAAUUUAGAGUGAGUUUUCCGUUCUAAUGACUUGCCGUCAAUCUGUAGGUGAAAUUGAGUGUUAGAAAUAUGAGAGUGAUGUUUAAAAUAUAUGUAGUGAGUUUUUUGUGUGUUCAAAGAUAAUUUGUUAGCUUUGAACCACUGUGAUACUUUGUUUAUUUCAUGAUUUAAAAUAUUGUAUAACGAAGUAGGAUUUGUAUGAGAAAAAAAAAUAUUUGUGUCGUCA